AGCAGCCGCGGUAAUUCCAGCUCCAAUAGCGUAUAUUAAAGUUGUUGCAGUUAAAAAGCUCGUAGUUGAAUUUCGGGGUUAGUAGGUUGGUCAUGCCACUGGUAUGUACUGAUCUUACUGAUUCCUCCUUCCUGAUGAACCGUAAUGCCAUUAAUUUGGUGUUGCGGGGAGACUGGACUGUUACUUUGAAAAAAUUAGAGUGUUUAAAGCAGGCUAACGCUUGAAUACAUUAGCAUGGAAUAAUGAAAUAGGACGUUCGAUCCUAUUUUGUUGGUUUCUAGGAUUGACGUAAUGAUUAAUAGGGAUAGUUGGGGGCAUUAGUAUUCAAUUGUCAGAGGUGAAAUUCUUGGAUUUAUUGAAGACUAACUACUGCGAAAGCAUUUGCCAAGGAUGUUUUCGUUAAUCAAGAACGAAAGUUAGGGGAUCGAAGACGAUCAGAUACCGUCGUAGUCUUAACCAUAAACUAUAGCCGACUAGGGAUCGGAUGAUGUUAAUUUUUUAAUGACUCAUUCGGCGCCUU
This 520-nucleotide ribosomal RNA is filed under the name uncultured Glomus. Its description in RNAcentral is "SSU rRNA". It matches the Rfam family "Eukaryotic small subunit ribosomal RNA", at positions 569 to 1089 of the family's 1831-position model. Lineage: Eukaryota; Fungi; Glomeromycota; Glomeromycetes; Glomerales; Glomeraceae. The record is from RNAcentral.